AACGAACGCUGGCGGCAGGCUUAACACAUGCAAGUCGAGCGCACUCUUCGGAGUGAGCGGCAGACGGGUGAGUAACGCGUGGGAAUCUACCUAUCACUACGGAAUAACACAGAGAAUUUGUGCUAAUACCGUAUACGUCCUAAUGGAGAAAGAUUUAUCGGUGAUGGAUGAGCCCGCGUUGGAUUAGCUAGUUGGUGAGGUAAAGGCUCACCAAGGCGACGAUCCAUAGCUGGUCUGAGAGGAUGAUCAGCCACACUGGGACUGAGACACGGCCCAGGACUCCUACGGGGAGGCAGCAGUGGGGAAUAUUGGACAAUGGGGGCNCAAGCCUGGACUUCCAGCCCAUCGCCGCGUGACGUGA
This 361-nucleotide ribosomal RNA is filed under the name uncultured Hyphomicrobiales bacterium. RNAcentral's name for it is "bacterial SSU rRNA". It matches the Rfam family "Bacterial small subunit ribosomal RNA", at positions 29 to 409 of the family's 1533-position model. Lineage: Bacteria; Pseudomonadati; Pseudomonadota; Alphaproteobacteria; Hyphomicrobiales. The record is from RNAcentral.